UCCUCCUUUACUGUGUUGAUUCCCUUUAUAUAUUUAAAUGUUUCUAUCAUAUCCCCCCUGUCUCGUCUUUCCUACAAACAAUGGGGCUGCAACACAUGGCGGCGGGCACCUGGUCGCAUGGCUGCGACCCCUGCGACCACGGUAUGUAUGCCAGUGCAUGCAGAUACACAUACACUUAAAGGACCACUACAGACACCCAGAUCACAUCAGCUCAAUGAAAUGGUCUGGGUGCCAGGUCCCUCUAGUUUUAACACUGUAGCUGAAAACAUAGUUUCACUGAGGGUUAAUCCAGCCUCUAGUGGCUGUCUCAUUGACAGCUGUUAGAGAAGCUUCUGCGAUUCUCACUGUGAAAAUCACAGUGAGAAGACGCUGAACGUCAUUAGGAAAGCAUUGAGUAAUGCUUUCCUAUGGGCGGUUUGAAUGCGCGCGCGCGGCUCUUGCCAUGCAUGCACAUUCGGAGCUGAGAGGCGGAUCAGGGCGGAGAGAUCCCCAGUGCCAAGGGAAUCCGGCGCUGGAGAAAGCAAAGUGCUUAAGACACACACACACACUCUCAUGAACAGACGCAUACACACUAGCUAACAGACACACACAUUUACUGACAGACACACACUCACUGACAGACAUACAUACACACUCACUGACAGACAGACUCACUCACUUACAAAACACACAAACUAACACUCAGUAACAGACACACACAGUAAUACACUCACUGACACACUCUAACAUACACACACUCUAACACACACACACACACGUUUUUUUUUUUUAAAUUUAAUCCCCCAGCCUCCCUACCUUUGGGAGUGCUGAGGGGAUUCCCUGGGGUCCACCGGGCGCGCGGGCACGCGAGGGAGCACUCUCCCUGGCUGAGUACUUCCCGUUCAGCUCCCUCAUCUUCCGGCUCCGGUAUCAGUGCGGUGCGCGAGGGAGCACUCAGGGGAGAGUGCUCCCUCACGCGCCCGCCCGCCCGGUGACAGCAGGGCCAGCCUGGUGAGCCCCCCGUUAUGUACGCCACUGGUGGUCACAGGUAGACGGUGAACAAUGACUGUAUAAAUACAUUUUUCUAGAAGACAGCAAUGCUCCCGCACAAACACAUAUUAACAUUCACAAAAUGAAAGGGACACUCAUAGGCGUGCGCACGGGGUGUGCCGGGUGUGCCUGGGCACACCCUAAUCCCCGUGGCACGCCUAUGGUUUGAGUCCUGCAGGCACUCAGCGCCCCCCUGUCUCACCUCUUGCCCCUGUCAUGGGGGGCAAGAGGUGAUGGAUUAC
Molecule: non-coding RNA, 1271 nt
Organism: Pelobates cultripes (western spadefoot toad)
Lineage: Eukaryota; Metazoa; Chordata; Amphibia; Anura; Pelobatidae
Source: the annotation of a GenBank genome assembly